This is a long non-coding RNA of Amblyraja radiata (thorny skate), 138 nucleotides long. RefSeq lists it as uncharacterized. The transcript has 3 exons. Lineage: Eukaryota; Metazoa; Chordata; Chondrichthyes; Rajiformes; Rajidae. The record is from RefSeq and is a predicted model, not a curated record.
UUGUGCAAAAUUAAAAUUAGGCACCUUUUGAAAACAAAACCGAAAUCCAAGUGUUAAGUAGUUUUGAUUGAUUGAAAGACACAGCAUGUGCCACUGAGACCACACCACCCACUCCUUCAAUGUUAUCCCACUUUGCAC